This 456-nucleotide ribosomal RNA is filed under the name uncultured bacterium. RNAcentral describes it as "bacterial SSU rRNA". It matches the Rfam family "Bacterial small subunit ribosomal RNA", at positions 29 to 530 of the family's 1533-position model. The record is from RNAcentral.
AACGAACGCUGGCGGCAGGCCUAACACAUGCAAGUCGAGCGGGGGAGCAAUCCCUAGCGGCGGACGGGUUAGUAACGCGUGGGAACAUACCCUUUGGUACGGAAUAGCCUCGGGAAACUGAGAGUAAUACCGUAUGUGCCCUUCGGGGGAAAGAUUUAUCGCCAAAGGAUUGGCCCGCGUUGGAUUAGGUAGUUGGUGGGGUAAUGGCCUACCAAGCCUACGAUCCAUAGCUGGUUUGAGAGGAUGAUCAGCAACACUGGGACUGAGACACGGCCCAGACUCCUACGGGAGGCAGCAGUGGGAAUCUUAGACAAUGGGCGCAAGCCUGAUCUAGCCAUGCCGCGUGAGCGAUGAAGGCCUUAGGGUUGUAAAGCUCUUUACCCGAGAUGAUAAUGACAGUAUCGGGAGAAUAAGCUCCGGCUAACUCCGUGCCAGCAGCCGCGGUAAAGUGACUAC